RNAcentral lists this ribosomal RNA (253 nucleotides) under uncultured bacterium. RNAcentral describes it as "partial 16S ribosomal RNA". It matches the Rfam family "Bacterial small subunit ribosomal RNA", at positions 524 to 776 of the family's 1533-position model. The record is from RNAcentral.
UACGUAGGGGGCGAGCGUUGUCCGGAUUUAUUGGGCGUAAAGAGCGUGUAGGCGGCCAGGUAGGUCCGUUGUGAAAACUCGAGGCUCAACCUCGAGACGUCGGCGGAAACCCUCUGGCUAGAGUCCGGAAGAGGAGAGUGGAAUUCCUGGUGUAGCGGUGAAAUGCGCAGAUAUCAGGAGGAACACCGGUGGCGAAGGCGGAUCUCUGGGCCAUUACUGACGCUGAGGAGCGAAAGCGUGGGGAGCAAACAGG